RNAcentral lists this ribosomal RNA (301 nucleotides) under uncultured bacterium. RNAcentral describes it as "partial 16S ribosomal RNA". It matches the Rfam family "Bacterial small subunit ribosomal RNA", at positions 509 to 807 of the family's 1533-position model. The record is from RNAcentral.
CAGUCGCCGCGGUAAUACGUAGGGUGCGAGCGUUAAUCGGAAUUACUGGGCGUAAAGCGUGCGCAGGCGGUUUUGUAAGACAGGCGCGAAAUCCCCGGGCUCAACCUGGGAAUGGCGCUUGUGACUGCAAAGCUAGAGUGCGGCAGAGGGGGAUGGAAUUCCGCGUGUAGCAGUGAAAUGCGUAGAUAUGCGGAGGAACACCGAUGGCGAAGGCAAUCCCCUGGGCCUGCACUGACGCUCAUGCACGAAAGCGUGGGGAGCAAACAGGAUUAGAUACCCGUGUAGUCCCUGUCUCUUAUAC